RNAcentral lists this ribosomal RNA (189 nucleotides) under uncultured bacterium. RNAcentral's name for it is "partial 16S ribosomal RNA". It matches the Rfam family "Bacterial small subunit ribosomal RNA", at positions 338 to 524 of the family's 1533-position model. The record is from RNAcentral.
CCUACGGGAGGCAGCAGUAAGGAACAUUGGUCAAUGGAGGGAACUCUGAACCAGCCAUGCCGCGUGAAGGAUGACGGCCCUCUGGGUUGUAAACUUCUUUUGGAUGGGGCGAAAAAACGGGAUUUAUCCUGGACUGACGGUACCAUCAGAAUAAGCACCGGCUAACUCCGUGCCAGCAGCCGCGGUAAU